AUUGAACGCUGGCGGCAGGCCUAACACAUGCAAGUCGAACGAGUGGCGGACGGGUGAGUAAUGUCUGGGAAACUGCCCGAUGGAGGGGGAUAACUACUGGAAACGGUAGCUAAUACCGCAUACAAUCGGAUGUGCCCAGAUGGGAUUAGCUAGUAGGGGGGGUAACGGCUCACCUGGGCGACGAGCCGUAGCUGGUCUGAGAGGAGGAACAGCCACACUGGAACUGAGACACGUGCCAUACUCCUACGGGAGGCAGCAGUGGGGAAUAUUGCACAAUGGGCGCAAGCCGGAUGCAGCCAUGCCGCGUGUAUGAAGAAGGCCUUUGGGUUGUAAAGUACUUUCAGCGAGGAGGCGUUACUCGCAGAAGAAGCGUCGGCUAACUCCGUGCCAGCCGCCGCGGUAAUUC
Molecule: ribosomal RNA, 406 nt
Filed under: uncultured bacterium
Lineage: Bacteria
Description: partial 16S ribosomal RNA
Rfam family: Bacterial small subunit ribosomal RNA
Source: RNAcentral